GUGACUGCGUACCUUUUGUAUAAUGGGUCAGCGACUUAUAUUCUGUAGCAAGGUUAACCGAAUAGGGGAGCCGGAGGGAAACCGAGUCUUAAUUGGGCGUUAAGUUGCAGGGUAUAGACCCGAAACCCGGUGAUCUAGCCAUGGGCAGGUUGAAGGUUGGGUAACACUAACUGGAGGACCGAACCGACUAAUGUUGAAAAAUUAGCGGAUGACCUGUGGCUA
This 222-nucleotide ribosomal RNA is filed under the name Salmonella enterica subsp. enterica serovar Montevideo. RNAcentral's name for it is "partial 23S ribosomal RNA". It matches the Rfam family "Bacterial large subunit ribosomal RNA", at positions 593 to 817 of the family's 2925-position model. The record is from RNAcentral. Lineage: Bacteria; Pseudomonadati; Pseudomonadota; Gammaproteobacteria; Enterobacterales; Enterobacteriaceae.